Molecule: ribosomal RNA, 318 nt
Filed under: Triticum aestivum (bread wheat)
Lineage: Eukaryota; Viridiplantae; Streptophyta; Magnoliopsida; Poales; Poaceae
Description: partial small subunit ribosomal RNA
Source: RNAcentral
AUGGUGGCUUGUAGGCGGAUGUGUCUCACACCUAAGUUUUUGCCGCUGGACCGUGGUUACAUUCAUCCUAGCUUGGAGGCAACGGUGUGGGUGGGUAUGCAUGUGCAAGGCGAAGAAGUGGACGAAGGCCAAAGAAGCAAUCUCUGCCUCCCUAUCGCUGCGUCCUGCUCCUCAAUAUGUCACCUUAGUCAUGGCCGCCUUAUCCCUCAUGCUGCUGAUUUGAAUCUGCCCUACUCUUCUUCUCCUAGACUGCUCGAGCGCUUCAGCGGGUGCCUUGCCGACGACAGGGAAGGAAGGACCAGAAAGCCACGAAAUUGA